UAAGCAAGAACAUCAGCUUGAUGAAACAGAAGGAAAAAAAUAGCAGUAUACUCAUAGACACUGAGAAGGGACUAGCAGUUACCAAAGGGGAAGGGUUGGGAGGGGCUGAGGGAGAAGGGUAUAAAGGGGCACAGUACUUCGCAAUCACAAUAUAGGUUGGUCACGGGGACAGUAGCACAGCACGGAGAAUACAGUUAAUGACUCUGCAACAUCUUAUUACGCUGAUGGACGGUGACCGCACUGGAGGGGGUGAGGACUCAAUAGUACGGGUGAAUGUUGAACCACUGUGUUGUGUAUUUGAAACCAUCAUAAGAUUGUAUAUCAAUGACACUUUAAUUAUAAAAAAACUAUAGUGGUAAACUGAGUUUAGGCUUGAUCUUUCUUGUGGAGUGUAGAUGAAAAAAAAAGGAAAGAAAAAAAAUGACAUCAGCUGAACAGAUUGAAAGUGCCCCAUUUGGCCAUUUCACAGUGAGAUCUCCUUUAGAAAUUCUCCCAGGUAGGGAGCCACUCGCAAGUCUAAGCCCUUAGGUUUCAUAUAUAAACCCUGCAGGUCUCCUUGCCGGAGGUUGGCAGUUCAGUGUCCUGAGACUUUUUGUUUCAGAAGACUGGUUUCCCAUUUUCGGCUCAGCAAAACAAAACGUAUCUUGGGUCAGAACGUGUAGUGAUUUUCUGGGUGUCACUUUCCCCAAGGCCAUGAGACACUCUCUUCAAUGUCUUGCUUUCUCCGCGGGCAGUCUAGAACUACCACUGGGCUCCGAACCCCGGAUGAUGACUAGUCCUUACGUGUGCAUCUCUGGAUAAGCCGUAGUUACUUCUCCAUGAGUGGAAUUCCCUAUGGGAUCACUGCAUGUCCAGAGGAGCAGACCUCUGACACUUCCACCGGGAAUGGCAGCGGGAGCCAUUCGGUGACAGUGAGCACUGGCACUCAUUCACAUUUGGGUGAAUUUGUGACGUAAGCAAAAGUAUGAAGAGGGAUCAAGGAAGGCUGCUUUAGGAGCUGAUUCAGUUGGGAGAAUCUCAUCCAAAUCUGUAUCUACUGGAUGGAAGAGGCUGAGGAGCAGAGUGGGAGGACCAAGAAAAGUAAAAUAGAGGCACAGAAAUGAAGGGCAGUGGCUAUUGCUGCUUGUCAUAAAUAUUCUAUAUAGGACGUGCUUCCCUCUCUCUUCCCCAUGACCCACCCACAGAUUUGCCAUUACCAUGGAAGUUACCCUGGCCACUGGAAUGUGAGCAGAGGUGAUGAGUCACUUGCAGGUGGAAGCCUUUAAGAACUAGAGUCCAAUUUGCCACACAUCCCCUUUUCCUGCAUCCAUCAGCCUUUUUCUCUAAGUGACCAACGAGCAGGGCUCCCAGCCAACCCAUGUUGGUUGUGAGUGAGCAAUAAACCUUAAUUGUUUGAAUCACUGA
Molecule: long non-coding RNA, 1404 nt
Organism: Manis pentadactyla (Chinese pangolin)
Lineage: Eukaryota; Metazoa; Chordata; Mammalia; Pholidota; Manidae
Exons: 3
Source: RefSeq, a predicted model, not a curated record